AGCUGGGGGUGCCGCCAGUGAGCGGCUGAGAGGAAUGAGAUUCCAACCCUUUGAACUUGAUGUGGUUAGUACCAUCGGAGGGAAGCAA
Molecule: non-coding RNA, 88 nt
Filed under: uncultured Anaerotignum sp.
Lineage: Bacteria; Bacillati; Bacillota; Clostridia; Lachnospirales; Anaerotignaceae
Description: TPP riboswitch (THI element)
Rfam family: TPP riboswitch aptamer (THI element)
About the family: Vitamin B(1) in its active form thiamin pyrophosphate (TPP) is an essential coenzyme that is synthesised by coupling of pyrimidine and thiazole moieties in bacteria. The previously detected thiamin-regulatory element, thi box was extended, resulting in a new, highly conserved RNA secondary structure, the THI element, which is widely distributed in eubacteria and also occurs in some archaea.
Source: RNAcentral